RNAcentral lists this ribosomal RNA (464 nucleotides) under uncultured bacterium. RNAcentral's name for it is "partial 16S ribosomal RNA". It matches the Rfam family "Bacterial small subunit ribosomal RNA", at positions 339 to 795 of the family's 1533-position model. The record is from RNAcentral.
CUACGGGUCGCACCAGUAGGGAAUAUUGCGCAAUGGACGAAAGUCUGACGCAGCAACGCCGCGUGGGUGAUGAAGCAUCUUGGUGCGUAAAACCCUGUCAGUGGGGAAGAAACGUACGGGGAGUAACUGCCCUGUGCCUGACGGUACCCACAGAGGAAGUCCCGGCUAACUCCGUGCCAGCAGCCGCGGUAAUACGGGGGGGACAAGCGUUGUUCGGAUUUACUGGGCGUAAAGGGCGCGUAGGCGGAUCUUCAAGUCGGGUGUGAAAACCAACAGCUUAACUGAUGGCCUGCACUCGAUACUGUCGAUCUUGAGUACGAGAGAGGAGAGCGGAAUUCCAGGUGUAGCGGUGAAAUGCGUAGAUAUCUGGAAGAACACCAGUAGCGAAGGCGGCUCUCUGGCUCGAUACUGACGCUAAAGCGCGAAGGCAUGGGGAGCAAACAGGAUUAGAUACCCCUGUAGUC